This 442-nucleotide unclassified non-coding RNA is filed under the name Hevea brasiliensis (rubber tree). The record is from RNAcentral. Lineage: Eukaryota; Viridiplantae; Streptophyta; Magnoliopsida; Malpighiales; Euphorbiaceae.
UUCAUUCCAAAUAUGAGAAUUGAUAUAAAAAAGAAAAAAAUCAAUUAAAUUGAAUUAUUGUAAAAUUCUAGAUUCCAAACAGGGUAUACCUUUUCAGGCUGGAUUUUAUUUGGUGAUUAGCUAUACUAUGUAUUUGGUUAUUCUAAAAUUUAUUUGAUUUACACCGGAGCAUUUUAUUAUGUCCAGCGGAGGAUUGCCUGAUCUCAGACUUUUGGUCUUCUGAUUGCCAUGGUCAUAUUUUGCCUUUUUUUCUUCUUCUUCCUUUUUCAUUUUUAGGUCCCCUCUCCAAUUUCUUAUUUUGUGACCAUUUUUUCAAUGGAUUUGAUGUAUCUGUUCUAGGAUGCUAAUUGUUAAUUUGUACAUUUAUUUGCUUAAUGAAUGGCUUUACAUGGUGCAGGAUGAGAGGGAAGUAUUGCCUCCAAAUGCAGACCUUACCAGGGCA